This 187-nucleotide ribosomal RNA is filed under the name uncultured insect microflora 6. Its description in RNAcentral is "partial 16S ribosomal RNA". The record is from RNAcentral.
GGCUGCUGGCAGGGAGUUAGCCGGUGCCUCUUCUGCGAGUNNCGUCAAUCAGCAAGGUUAUUAACCUUACUGCCUUCCUCCUCGCUGAAAGUGCUUUACAACCCGAAGCCUUCUUCACACACGCGGCAUGGCUGCAUCAGGCUUGCGCCCAUUGUGCAAUAUUCCCCACUGCUGCCUCCCGUAGAGG